UGCGCAUGCCCGAUUCCGAAGGCGAAUGCGGUAUGAAACACAAGCCUACAGACAAGACGGUAUAACCUCGAGAUCAGAAGUCCCUUAGAUAUUUUGGAACGAAAAACAUUCAAUCCCAUUGGCUUGUAUAAGUGUCCGAGUUGGCGAAGGAUCUUCAGAAUCAACUAUAUGGGCCCGGUUUCCCAAAGCACUAUGAUGAUCGUAAGAUGCACGUUUUGUUAUUCCAUUAACAUGAAUGGAAUUAACCUGGGAAGGUGUUCCGGUCCCGUCCCACCGGGAGGAGACCCCGGGGAAGACCUAGGACACGCUGGAGGGACUAUGUCUCCCGGCUGGCCUGGGAACGCCUUGGUGUCCCCCCG
Long non-coding RNA from Esox lucius (northern pike), 359 nucleotides. Lineage: Eukaryota; Metazoa; Chordata; Actinopteri; Esociformes; Esocidae. The record is from Ensembl.